RNAcentral lists this ribosomal RNA (510 nucleotides) under uncultured bacterium. Its description in RNAcentral is "bacterial SSU rRNA". It matches the Rfam family "Bacterial small subunit ribosomal RNA", at positions 15 to 518 of the family's 1533-position model. The record is from RNAcentral.
GAUCCUGGCUCAGGAUGAACGCUAGCGACAGGCUUAACACAUGCAAGUCGAGGGGCAGCAUAAAAGUAGCAAUACUUGGUGGCGACCGGCGCACGGGUGAGUAACGCGUAUGCAACCUACCUAUCAGGAGGGGAAUAACCCGGCGAAAGUCGGACUAAUACCGCAUAAAACAGGGGCACCGCAUGGUGAUAUUUGUUAAAGAAAUUCGCUGAUAGAUGGGCAUGCGUUCCAUUAGGUAGUUGGUGAGGUAACGGCUCACCAAGCCGACGAUGGAUAGGGGAACUGAGAGGUUGGUCCCCCACACUGGUACUGAGACACGGACCAGACUCCUACGGGAGGCAGCAGUGAGGAAUAUUGGUCAAUGGGCGGGAGCCUGAACCAGCCAAGUCGCGUGAAGGAAGAAGGAUCUAUGGUUCGUAAACUUCUUUGCAGGGGAAUAAAGUGCAGGACGUGUCCUGUUUUGUAUGUACCCUGAGAAUAAGGAUCGGCUAACUCCGUGCCAGCCGCCGC